Molecule: RNA transcript, 1342 nt
Organism: Neltuma alba
Lineage: Eukaryota; Viridiplantae; Streptophyta; Magnoliopsida; Fabales; Fabaceae
Gene name: WAT1-related protein At3g28050-like
Exons: 8
Source: RefSeq, a predicted model, not a curated record
CUCGAUCGCUCACUGUCAACAAGUGUCAACAAAGUUAAUUUCUCUUUCUGUCUAGAAGACCAGAAGCAGAGAGAGCACAGUAAAAAUGGCGAGCGUGGCGAUAACGAUGGCGAUGGUGGCCGCACAGUUCUCGGACGUUGGCUUGAACACUCUAGUCAAGGCCGCCACUACCAAUGGCAUGAGCAAAUUCGUGUUCAUUGUGUAUUCUAACGCCUUAGCCCUCUGUUUUCUUCUUCCUUCUACCUUCCUUUAUCACAGGAAGGUGGUUCCUCCCCCAAUCUCAAGGUCAAUUAUCGGUAGAAUCUUCCUGUCUAGCGUGCUCAGCUGUGCAGUGCAGACACUGAUGUAUACUGGUAUUCAAUUAAGCUCUCCCACUUUGUCUUCGGCUAUGUUGGAUCUUGUUCCUGCUUUCACUUUCAUCCUUGCCAUUGUUUCCAGGAUGGAAAAUCUGGAUUUGAAAUUUCGAAGCAGUCAAGCGAAAGCUAUUGGAACAGUAGUCUCAAUCACAGGAGCAUUAAUUGUGACCUUAUACAAGGGUCUUCCAGUUACUCCUCAGCCCCUACCAGAGAAGCCACUGAGCUGGGUUUUGCUCUCAUCACAGCAUUCGAAUUGGCUGCUGGGAGGCUUUCUCCUUUCAAUUGCCAGCUUUUGCAACUCUCUCGUAAUUGUUGUCCAGUUUUGGGUUCUAAAGGACUAUCCCGCAGAGUUCAUGGUCACAACCAUUUGUUGCAGUUUUGUGGUAGUUCUUUCUGCCAUCGUAGCUCUCAUUGCAGAGGGAGCUUCUGAAGCUUGGAUACUCAGGCCUGAUAUGGAAUUGGUAGCCAUAUUUUAUUCAGCAAUAUUUCAGGUAUCAAUCCGAAGUGUUGUGCUUGCAUGGGCUAGUCGAAAGAAGGGGCCAAUUUAUGUGGCUAUGUUCAACCCUUUAGGGAUGGUCAUUGCAAUUGGCAUGGGAGUCAUAUUUCUGAGGGAGACUCUUUAUCUGGGAAGCAUGAUAGGAGCAGGUAUAAUAGGAAUUGGGUUUUACUCAGUGAUGUGGGGUCUGGCUCAAGAGGAAAAGAUGGUGAAUGAGAAGGACAAGAUUCAGAAGAAGAAUAUGCCAUCUUCUACAACCCCUUUGCUACAGAAUAAAAGCUUGGAUGUGUAGAGAAACUAGGACUCUGUUUUUCUAAGCAGUAACUGUCAUGAUAUACCAGGAUGGAGACAAGCCAGGUAGGAUCACAACUCACAAGGAUGGCAACAAUACUAAGGGUAAAUUAGGCUUUCCACUUGUAACACAUUUGUAAAUUAUGUAACUCUCUUUUUAUUACUAUUUUGAAAAUUUUACAUACUAUGUAAAAUGAAA